This 253-nucleotide ribosomal RNA is filed under the name uncultured bacterium. Its description in RNAcentral is "partial 16S ribosomal RNA". It matches the Rfam family "Bacterial small subunit ribosomal RNA", at positions 524 to 776 of the family's 1533-position model. The record is from RNAcentral.
UACGUAGGGUGCGAGCGUUAAUCGGAAUUACUGGGCGUAAAGCGUGCGCAGGCGGUUCGUUGUGUCGGCGGUGAAAGCCCCGGGCUUAACCUGGGAAUGGCCGUUGAAACUGGCGAACUGGAGUGUGGCAGAGGGGGGUGGAAUUCCGCGUGUAGCAGUGAAAUGCGUAGAGAUGUGGAGGAAUACCGAUGGCGAAGGCAGCCCCCUGGGUCAAUACUGACGCUCAUGCACGAAAGCGUGGGGAGCAAACAGG